This 73-nucleotide transfer RNA is filed under the name Bos taurus (domestic cattle). It matches the Rfam family "tRNA". Rfam says of the family: Transfer RNA (tRNA) molecules are approximately 80 nucleotides in length. Their secondary structure includes four short double-helical elements and three loops (D, anti-codon, and T loops). RNAcentral also lists the same sequence under 3 other names. The record is from Rfam by way of RNAcentral. Lineage: Eukaryota; Metazoa; Chordata; Mammalia; Artiodactyla; Bovidae.
UCCCUGGCAGUCCAGUGGUCAGGACUCCACACUUGCAGUGUGCAGGGCAUGGGUUUGAUCCCUGGUCAGGGAA